GGUUAAGCGACUAAGCGUACACGGUGGAUGCCCUGGCAGUCAGAGGCGAUGAAGGACGUGCUAAUCUGCGAUAAGCGUCGGUAAGGUGAUAUGAACCGUUAUAACCGGCGAUUUCCGAAUGGGGAAACCCAGUGUGAUUCGUCACACUAUCAUUAACUGAAUCCAUAGGUUAAUGAGGCGAACCGGGGGAACUGAAACAUCUAAGUACCCCGAGGAAAAGAAAUCAACCGAGAUUCCCCCAGUAGCGGCGAGCGAACGGGGAGGAGCCCAGAGCCUGAAUCAGUGUGUGUGUUAGUGGAAGCGUCUGGAAAGGCGCGCGAUACAGGGUGACAGCCCCGUACACAAAAAUGCACAUGCUGUGAGCUCGAUGAGUAGGGCGGGACACGUGGUAUCCUGUCUGAAUAUGGGGGGACCAUCCUCCAAGGCUAAAUACUCCUGACUGACCGAUAGUGAACCAGUACCGUGAGGGAAAGGCGAAAAGAACCCCGGCGAGGGGAGUGAAAAAGAACCUGAAACCGUGUACGUACAAGCAGUGGGAGCACAGAGCAAUCUGUGUGACUGCGUACCUUUUGUAUAAUGGGUCAGCGACUUAUAUUCUGUAGCAAGGUUAACCGAAUAGGGGAGCCGAAGGGAAACCGAGUCUUAACUGGGCGUUAAGUUGCAGGGUAUAGACCCGAAACCCGGUGAUCUAGCCAUGGGCAGGUUGAAGGUUGGGUAACACUAACUGGAGGACCGAACCGACUAAUGUUGAAAAAUUAGCGGAUGACUUGUGGCUGGGGGUGAAAGGCCAAUCAAACCGGGAGAUAGCUGGUUCUCCCCGAAAGCUAUUUAGGUAGCGCCUCGUGAAUUCAUCUCCGGGGGUAGAGCACUGUUUCGGCAAGGGGGUCAUCCCGACUUACCAACCCGAUGCAAACUGCGAAUACCGGAGAAUGUUAUCACGGGAGACACACGGCGGGUGCUAACGUCCGUCGUGAAGAGGGAAACAACCCAGACCGCCAGCUAAGGUCCCAAAGUCAUGGUUAAGUGGGAAACGAUGUGGGAAGGCCCAGACAGCCAGGAUGUUGGCUUAGAAGCAGCCAUCAUUUAAAGAAAGCGUAAUAGCUCACUGGUCGAGUCGGCCUGCGCGGAAGAUGUAACGGGGCUAAACCAUGCACCGAAGCUGCGGCAGCGACACUGUGUGUUGUUGGGUAGGGGAGCGUUCUGUAAGCCUGCGAAGGUGUGCUGUGAGGCAUGCUGGAGGUAUCAGAAGUGCGAAUGCUGACAUAAGUAACGAUAAAGCGGGUGAAAAGCCCGCUCGCCGGAAGACCAAGGGUUCCUGUCCAACGUUAAUCGGGGCAGGGUGAGUCGACCCCUAAGGCGAGGCCGAAAGGCGUAGUCGAUGGGAAACAGGUUAAUAUUCCUGUACUUGGUGUUACUGCGAAGGGGGGACGGAGAAGGCUAUGUUGGCCGGGCGACGGUUGUCCCGGUUUAAGCGUGUAGGCUGGUUUUCCAGGCAAAUCCGGAAAAUCAAGGCUGAGGCGUGAUGACGAGGCACUACGGUGCUGAAGCAACAAAUGCCCUGCUUCCAGGAAAAGCCUCUAAGCAUCAGGUAACAUCAAAUCGUACCCCAAACCGACACAGGUGGUCAGGUAGAGAAUACCAAGGCGCUUGAGAGAACUCGGGUGAAGGAACUAGGCAAAAUGGUGCCGUAACUUCGGGAGAAGGCACGCUGAUAUGUAGGUGAAGUCCCUCGCGGAUGGAGCUGAAAUCAGUCGAAGAUACCAGCUGGCUGCAACUGUUUAUUAAAAACACAGCACUGUGCAAACACGAAAGUGGACGUAUACGGUGUGACGCCUGCCCGGUGCCGGAAGGUUAAUUGAUGGGGUCAGCGCAAGCGAAGCUCUUGAUCGAAGCCCCGGUAAACGGCGGCCGUAACUAUAACGGUCCUAAGGUAGCGAAAUUCCUUGUCGGGUAAGUUCCGACCUGCACGAAUGGCGUAAUGAUGGCCAGGCUGUCUCCACCCGAGACUCAGUGAAAUUGAACUCGCUGUGAAGAUGCAGUGUACCCGCGGCAAGACGGAAAGACCCCGUGAACCUUUACUAUAGCUUGACACUGAACAUUGAGCCUUGAUGUGUAGGAUAGGUGGGAGGCUUUGAAGUGUGGACGCCAGUCUGCAUGGAGCCGACCUUGAAAUACCACCCUUUAAUGUUUGAUGUUCUAACGUGGACCCGUGAUCCGGGUUGCGGACAGUGUCUGGUGGGUAGUUUGACUGGGGCGGUCUCCUCCUAAAGAGUAACGGAGGAGCACGAAGGUUGGCUAAUCCUGGUCGGACAUCAGGAGGUUAGUGCAAUGGCAUAAGCCAGCUUGACUGCGAGCGUGACGGCGCGAGCAGGUGCGAAAGCAGGUCAUAGUGAUCCGGUGGUUCUGAAUGGAAGGGCCAUCGCUCAACGGAUAAAAGGUACUCCGGGGAUAACAGGCUGAUACCGCCCAAGAGUUCAUAUCGACGGCGGUGUUUGGCACCUCGAUGUCGGCUCAUCACAUCCUGGGGCUGAAGUAGGUCCCAAGGGUAUGGCUGUUCGCCAUUUAAAGUGGUACGCGAGCUGGGUUUAGAACGUCGUGAGACAGUUCGGUCCCUAUCUGCCGUGGGCGCUGGAGAACUGAGGGGGGCUGCUCCUAGUACGAGAGGACCGGAGUGGACGCAUCACUGGUGUUCGGGUUGUCAUGCCAAUGGCACUGCCCGGUAGCUAAAUGCGGAAGAGAUAAGUGCUGAAAGCAUCUAAGCACGAAACUUGCCCCGAGAUGAGUUCUCCCUGACUCCUUGAGAGUCCUGAAGGAACGUUGAAGACGACGACGUUGAUAGGCCGGGUGUGUAAGCGCAGCGAUGCGUUGAGCUAACCGGUACUAAUGAACCGUGAGGCUUAACCUU
RNAcentral lists this ribosomal RNA (2905 nucleotides) under Escherichia coli. Its description in RNAcentral is "23S ribosomal RNA". It matches the Rfam family "Bacterial large subunit ribosomal RNA". The record is from RNAcentral. Lineage: Bacteria; Pseudomonadati; Pseudomonadota; Gammaproteobacteria; Enterobacterales; Enterobacteriaceae.